GAGGGGUGGCACAAGCCAGAAUAAGGCGAAACCGCGAAUGGCUCAUUAAAUCAGUUAUGGUUCCUUAGAUCGUUUCUUCCUACUUGGAUAACUGUGGCAAUUCUAGAGCUAAUACAUGCAGUGAGCCUGGAGCCCUUUGGGUAACGGGUGCUUUUAUUAGACCAAGAUCGAUCGGGUUUCGGCCCGUAUUGUGUGGUGACUCUGGAUAACUUUGUGCUGAUCGCAUGGCCACGAGCCGGCGACGUUUCUUUCAAGUGUCUGCCUUAUCAACUUUCGAUGGUAGGUUACUUGCUUACCAUGGUUGUUACGGGUAACGGAGAAUCAGGGUUCGAUUCCGGAGAGGGAGCCUGAGAAACGGCUACCACAUCCAAGGAAGGCAGCAGGCGCGCAAAUUACCCACUCCCGGCACGGGGAGGUAGUGACGAAAAAUAACAAUACGGGACUCUUUUGAGGCCCCGUAAUUGAAAUGAGUACACUCUAAAUCCUUUAACGAGGAUCAAUUGGAGGGCAAGUCUGGUCCCAGCAGCCA
Molecule: ribosomal RNA, 529 nt
Filed under: Rhipicephalus evertsi evertsi
Lineage: Eukaryota; Metazoa; Arthropoda; Arachnida; Ixodida; Ixodidae
Description: SSU rRNA
Rfam family: Eukaryotic small subunit ribosomal RNA
Source: RNAcentral